RNAcentral lists this non-coding RNA (185 nucleotides) under Acidobacteriota bacterium. RNAcentral's name for it is "6S RNA". It matches the Rfam family "6S / SsrS RNA". Rfam says of the family: E. coli 6S RNA was the first non coding RNA to be sequenced, but its function was unknown until recently. It consists of 184 nucleotides that fold into an extended hairpin structure with a large single-stranded internal bulge. The record is from RNAcentral. Lineage: Bacteria; Pseudomonadati; Acidobacteriota.
GAGCCCCUGCUACGUGCGUGAUGGCAACCCUUAUUUGAGCCGAUAUUCUAUUUGUCGGGCGUCCGGGUCGGUCGGCGGUGUGCGAGCUUUUCCUUCGGGAACUUGUUUGCCUGAAGUCGGUCGCAGGGGGUCCACCUUGGCAACAAGGUUCAAAUAGAUCAGCCACACGGCGGUGCGGGGGUAUC